AGCUACCACGGCGACAACUGCAGCACCCACCACGGCGACAGGUGCAGCUUCUACAACAUCAAAAGCAGCUCCAACAAUGACAACUGCAGAUCCUGCAACAAUAUUUGUUGCUCUUACGACCAAUACAGCAGGAACACCUACAGCAACAACUGUAGCUCCUUCAACAAUAAUAUCUGUAGCUCCUACAACAACAACUACUUCAACUGAAGCUCCGACAACCACACCUACUACGAAGGCUACAACUGAAGCUCCUACAACCUCCACAACAGCAACACCUUCAACAACAACUGCAGCUCCUAUGACAACUGCAGCUCCUACGACAACAACUGUAUCUCUUUACCACUAAAACUGCAGUACCUACUACAGCUCCUACUACAACUGUAGCCCCUACUACAGCAACACCUGCAACAACAACUGCAGCUCCUACAACAACUGCAGCUCCUACGACAACAACUGUAUCUCUUUUUACCACUAAAACUGCAGUACCUACUACAGCUCCUACUACAACUGUAGCCCCUACUACAGCCACAACAGCAACACCAUCGAAAGCCAUUGCAGCUCUUACUACAACAGCUGUAUAUACCACAACAAAUACAACUGGAGCACCUGCUACAGAAACUACAAUUGCACCAACUACGACAACCACAACCUCUCCUACUAUCAACAGCAUCAUAGAAGCUCCUACUUCCACAACCAUAACUGAAGCUUCUAUAACCACCACAACUGUAUCUUCUACUAUGACAACCACAACUUCAGCUGCCAUAAUGAACACUACAUAUGCAGCUCCAACAAUGGCAACUCCAGCUCUUACAACCACCACCACCACCGUAGCUUCUAGCAUGGCAAUUCAACCUGCAGGUCCUACAACAACGACCACAACUGUUUCUCCAACAAUGACUACAACACCUACAAGUACAACCACAAUUGUACUUCCAACUUUUACCUCAACUUCUAUGGCUUCAGUGACAUCAACAACCAGAUUUGGCACAGUGAUGGUUUUUGUUAGGCUGGUGUUCCAGCUCAACACACCAGUCCCCACUGAGGAGGAUGUCCUUGGUGUCAUCAACAAGCAACUGUCUCGCCAAUUGAACAUUCAGAGAAACACUCAAACCACCUUCCAGAAUGCAACUUAUAUCAAACUUACACAUACUUCAUUUGCCAUCGAUCUUGGUUUCAAAAUAACCAAUGUCACCAUGGAUUCUCGAAGAGAUAGACUCACAUUCACCAGUGAGACCUACAACAAGAUACAGGAUUCAAUUAACAGCCUACUCAAUGAUAUUCUUAGUAAACCAGAUGGCAAACAAUUUGUCUUUCCCAAUGCCAACUUUACUAUUGUUGGCACUCAAAUCAGGGCAGACAUGAUGUAUGUAUACAAAGAGGAAGACAUCAAUUUCCCUAGUGCUUUUCUAGAGGAAGUCUUAAAAGUCUCAGGUCUCCUAACAACCACGGUUACCCCAACAACUACCAGCACCACACCACUUCCUACCCUUUUGCUGACCACUACUUUCAAUACCACAAGUGAUGGAGGUUUUCCUGGCUGGGCUCUGGCCAUUAUCAUCCCUUGUGGCAUCGCUA
RNAcentral lists this long non-coding RNA (1575 nucleotides) under Salmo salar (Atlantic salmon). Its description in RNAcentral is "lncRNA (ENSSSAG00000110602.1)". The record is from RNAcentral. Lineage: Eukaryota; Metazoa; Chordata; Actinopteri; Salmoniformes; Salmonidae.